RNAcentral lists this long non-coding RNA (351 nucleotides) under Sorghum bicolor (sorghum). RNAcentral's name for it is "long non-coding RNA (SBIC_LNC009476)". The record is from RNAcentral. Lineage: Eukaryota; Viridiplantae; Streptophyta; Magnoliopsida; Poales; Poaceae.
GACUCGAUUUAUAAAAAAAUAUGUACAAUAUUUAUACUUCCAAAUAAAUUUAUUAAAAAAACUAGAUUCAAAAAUCUUAUAAUGAUACUAAUUAUAUACUCCCUCUAUUCAUAAAAAAAAAGUUCAAUUCCUAGCAACUUGGGGACAAAUUAGCAAAACAAGAAAAAAUACUAUAUUACCCUGGUUGGACAUCAAUAUCUCUGCAUGCAGUUGCUGAGAGCACAUGAGUAUUCCAACACAAUUAAGAGGUGUCAUUUGGAGUAUGUCAAGGAUAUUAAAUGCUGAUGUACGCAGUCCAACACAAAAAUUGGAAGGGGAUUGGGGACUUUUGGGCUAUGAUGUAAUGCGACC